RNAcentral lists this ribosomal RNA (253 nucleotides) under uncultured bacterium. RNAcentral's name for it is "partial 16S ribosomal RNA". It matches the Rfam family "Bacterial small subunit ribosomal RNA", at positions 524 to 776 of the family's 1533-position model. The record is from RNAcentral.
GACAGAGGGUGCAAACGUUGUUCGGAAUUACUGGGCGUAAAGCGCGUGUAGGCGGUGCGGUAAGUCGGGUGUGAAAGCCCUGGGCUCAACCCAGGAAGUGCAUUCGAUACUACCGUACUAGAGUCCCGGAGAGGUUGGUGGAACUCUCGGUGUAGAGGUGAAAUUCGUAGAUAUCGAGAAGAACACCGGUGGCGAAGGCGGCCAACUGGACCAUUACUGACGCUGAGGCGCGAAAGCGUGGGGAGCGAACAGG